GACCUCUCUGAAGUAGUUUGAUUUAUUUAACAUAAUUGUGUUUGCAACACUGCCCUCUUUUGGUUAACCUGCAGCAGUACCUCUGGCUUAAGUUUCACUUUCAGUUAGUUGAGUGUGCCUCAGAGCAGAGUGCUGGUGUUGUUUUCUCUUGCUGCAAUUUCUUCCUUUUACAUUGUUGCCUUGGAUAUUAUUUGUCCUUUUACAGUGCAAUAAGAAAAGUAAAGUUUCUUCAUGGAACUCAAGAAAAGUUAUGCCUUGUGUUUUUUCUGGAGAACUUUACACUGUUAGCUAACUGUCAAGCUUUGAAGAAGCAACUCAUUGCAAGGACAGUAUAGUAAAAGGACAAGCGCACAGCGGGCAAAAUUGAACAAGGUUAUGUGCAGCAACAAUGAGUCUACGGUCAGGCAAACAGUACCAGCCAUCUUCUCAGAAUGAGAGUGUGGAAAAACAGCAAGAAGCUACUCAAAGUGCUGAUGCAUGUGCAAAGUCAGUACGGUCACGUGCUUCAAAACAGUCAAGUGGAGCUUCCACAGCUAGCUCCUCAGCUAUGAAAGCUCGGGCUAAAGCAGAGGCUGCCCGUGCUGAACUUUCCUUUGCCGAAGAAGAAGCCAGAAUUAUGAAGCAAAAAGCUGACCUUGAAGCAAAUCUUCAUAUAUUAAAAAGUCAGAAAGCUGUUGCUGCUGCGACAGCUGAAGCAGCUGCAUAUGAAGAAGAUGAUAAGUCUAUCAAGAGUGAAAUUAAUCCAGAGGUAUUAGAGUUACCUAUCAGUUCAGUUCAACGCACAUCUGAAUAUGUCAAACGACAUUCAAGAGCACACUCUGAGGAAUUUCCAUUGAAAGAUGAUCCACUAGUCUACCAAAAGGUGGCACGUGCACAAUGUGAAAUGGACAUGAAUGACACAGAUACUCAUCAUUAUGAGAAAAACAGAGAUGUUGAGAGUAGAAAAGCUUAUGUCAAACAACCACAACAAAAAGAGGAAGUUUACAAUAAACCUUACUACUCAGAAACAGCAAGAGAGUCAUUUCAUCCUCAAAAGAAGUCUUUAUCCGAAACUCAAGGUGUACAAGAUGUUACAAAAUACCUUAUUCGCAGGGAAAUGUUGAAUGCAGGUCUUCUGAAAUUUGACGAUCGUCCAGAGAAUUACUGGGCAUGGAAGGAAUCAUUUCAAAGUGCCAUACAAGAUCUCAACCUUUCAUCGAGGGAAGAACUGGAUUUGAUGAUAAAAUGGCUUGGUGAGGAGUCUGCGGAGCAAGCAAAGAGGAUUCGCUCUGUUCAUGUGUUCAACCCAACAGCAGCACUCAACUUAGUCUGGCAAAGACUAGAAGAAUGUUAUGGGUCAUCAGAAGCAGUCGAGCAUGCUCUGCUAAAAAAGCUUGAAUAUUUCCCUAAACUCACCAACAAAGAUAAUGUCAGGCUAAGGGAGUUAGGUGACAUUCUUCAGGAGAUAGAGUGUGCGAAAGAAGGAGGAUAUUUACCUGGAUUGUCAUAUUUGGACACGGCUCGUGGAGUGAAUCCAAUCGUGGAGAAAUUACCUUACAGCUUGCAAGAGAAAUGGGUAGCCACAGGAUCCAAAUACAAGGAUGACAAUGGAGUAACAUUUCCACCUUUUCGUUUCUUCUCCAGCUUUGUGAGACAACAGGCACGAGUGAAAAAUGACCCCAGUUUUGCCUUUACGUCCUUCAACACCCAAAGCUUGAAAACUGAGAGAUACACAAGAAGUGGUAACCGAGCUUCUGUAACUGUGCACAAAACAGAUGUUCCACAAGAUGCAAUGACUAUCCAGCGUAGCUACGGUGAGAAGAUAAUGGAAAGUCCUGAUAAGCUAUGUCCCAUUCAUAAAAAGCCCCACCCGUUAAAAAAAUGCAGGAGCUUCAGAGCUAAACAUAUUGAUGAAAGAAAAUCAUUUCUAAAAGAGAACCGUAUUUGCUUCAGAUGUUGUGGGUCAGUACAGCAUAUGGCAAAAGACUGCAGAGUGACACUAAAAUGUCUGGAGUGUAACAGUGAGAAGCAUGUCUCAGCACUACAUCCUGGUCCUCCUCCCACUACAACAGGGAGUCAAGAAGCUGACAAAGAUGAUGGCGGGGAGGUGAAUGGAAACGCUUUGACCCCAGUGACAUCUAAAUGUACAGAGAUAUGUGGCAAUUCAGAUGGUCAACAUUCCUGCUCCAAAAUCAGUCCAGUGAUAGUAUAUCCUGCUGGAAGAAGAGAGGAAUCAAAGAAAAUGUAUGCAGUGUUAGAUGAACAGAGUAACAAGUCACUCGCUAAAUCAGAAUUCUUCCAUCUUUUUAACAUUACAACCACAUCAGACCCAUACACACUGAAAACGUGUUCAGGGGUUACCAAAGCAAUGGGCAGAAGAGCUACAAACUUGAUGAUCGAAUCCAUUGAUGGCAAAAUACAACUACCACUACCAAGUCUAAUCGAAUGUGACAUGAUUCCUGACAACCGCACAGAAAUCCCAUCUCCUGAGGUGGCGCGUUGUCACCCACACCUACAGCGAGUUGCUGAGAGGAUUCCUCCUGUGGAUCCAGAUGCUUCCAUCCUCAUACUCUUGGGAAGAGAUAUUCUGCGGGUACACAAGGUGAGAGAGCAAAUUAACGGGCCCCACAGUGCUCCUUAUGCGCAGAGGCUAGAUCUGGGGUGGGUCAUUGUAGGUGACACCUGCCUAGGAACAACCCACAAGCCAUCGAGUGUUAAUGUCCUGAAAACACAUGUACUCAGUAACGGUCGUACAUCUAUUCUUAGCCCAUGUCCAAACAAAAUCUUAGUUAAGGAGACUCUCAGUCAAUCAUCACAUCUCGGAUGUUCUUCAGCCUCUUGUACACAGGAAGAGCGCCUUAGUGGUAGCAUAGACAUGUUGGGAUCUGCUGUGUUUGAAAGAACCAGGGAUGAUGAAAAAUCAGCGCUUUCAGUGGAUGAUCAGGUUUUUCUUGAAUUGAUGGACAGAGAAGUCUAUAAAAAUGAAGCCAACAGCUGGGUAGCGCCAUUACCAUUCCGUUCCACUAGGCAGUUCCUUCCAAGUAACAGAGAGCAAGCAAUGUCACGUCUUUAUUCUCUCAAGAAAACACUGGACAGAAAACCUGACAUGAAGAAGCAGUACAUUGACUUCAUGCAGAAAAUGUUAGAAAACGAUCAUGCAGAGCCUGCUCCUCCACUGGAGAAACAUAAAGAACACUGGUACUUACCGUCGUUUGGCGUAUAUCACCCUCAGAAACGUGACCAGAUAAGGGUGGUAUUUGAUUCAAGCGCUGAAUAUGAAGGAGUGUCCCUAAACAAAGUGCUGCUUAGUGGCCCUGACUUGAACAACAGCCUUUUGGGGGUCCUUUUACGUUUCAGAAAAGAACCUAUUGCGUUCACAGCUGAUAUACAGCAAAUGUUUUAUUGUUUUGUUGUAAACGAAGACCAUAGAGACUACCUCAGAUUCCUUUGGUAUGAAGACAACGAUCUCAGCAAGAUGGUGAGGGACUUCAGAAUGAAGGUCCAUGUGUUUGGAAAUAGCCCCUCACCAGCUGUGGCUAUUUAUUGCAUGAGGCGCGCUGCAGCAGAUGGUGAGAGAGAGUAUGGCGCUGAUGCCAAGCAGUUUGUCAUAAGACAUUUUUACGUUGAUGAUGGACUUGCAUCUGCUCCAACCCCUGAAGAAGCGAUUGACAUCCUAACAAGAACACAGCAGAUGCUAGCUGAUUCCAACUUGAAAUUGCACAAGAUAACAUCCAACAAUCACAAGGUUAUGGAAGCUUUUCCAGCUGAUGAGAGGGUCAAAGAUCUGAAAGAUUUGGAUCUAAGGUUAGAUGAUCUCCCUUUACAGCGCAGCUUAGGGGUCCUGUGGAACCUGGAAACAGACAGUUUCACAUUCAAAGUGUCUCAAGAGGAAAGACCAUAUACCAAGAGAGGUGUUUUGGCCACAAUCAACAGUUUAUAUGACCCUUUAGGCUUUGUGGCUCCUAUAACAAUGCAGGGAAAAGCUCUCCUUCGUGAACUCUCAGCUGAGCAGAAUGACUGGGAUGAACCACUUCCUCCAGAAAAGAAGGAUGAAUGGAGUAGAUGGAAAGAAUCGUUGAAUGAUCUCCAACGUCUCCAGAUACCAAGGUGCUAUGUUCCAUUCUCGCAGUCCUCUGCCCAAAGAAAAGAGCUGUGCAUCUUUUCAGAUGCCUCCAUAAUAGCAAUUGGAGCUGUUGCUUACUUAAAGUGUAUCGACAGUGAAGGUCAGCAGUACGUUGGAUUCAUUAUGGGCAAAUCCAAACUAGCCCCACGUCCCGCACAUACUGUUCCACGACUGGAGUUGUGCGCAGCUGUUCUAGCUGUGGAGCUUUAUGAGCUAGUCAGAGACGAGAUAGACAUUGACAUGGAUGCUGUGAAAUUCUACACCGACAGUAAAAUCGUCCUUGGAUAUAUUCACAACAGCACUAGGAGAUUUUACACAUAUGUUGCAAACAGAGUGAUUCGUAUCCGUAAGUCUUCUCAUCCUGAGCAGUGGCAUUACAUCUCUACAGAGAACAAUCCUGCAGAUCAUGCCACCAGACCAAUCCAUGCUUCUCUUCUGCAACACACAAAUUGGUUCUCGGGACCAUCAUGUUUAACACAAUCCCAUCCAGAGCCAGCACAGAUCGACAUCUUCACUCUAGUGGAACCUGAUGUAGAUGUGGAAAUACGACCUGAUGUAACGACUUUGAUUACAGUAACUUCAGAAACACAGUUGAAGUCACAUCGCUUUGAAAGAUUUUCUCAUUGGAUGACUCUGUGUCGUGCCAUAGCUUUGCUCAUCCGUGUGGCAAGAUCAUUCAAGACAACUGCCGAUCAGAGAAAUUUUCAAGGAUGGAAGUGUAACACUGAGGCAAGCACCGUAAGUGAGAUUCUUCGUGCAAAAGUUGUAAUUAUUCUCACUGUGCAGUCUGAAAUCUUCAAGGAAGAAUUCAAAUGUCUGGAAACAAAGCAGACAUUACCAAAGCAGAGUCCACUCAAAAAGCUUAACCCAAUCAUUGAUGAAGAUGGAUUGCUUAGGGUCGGAGGUCGUCUUGCACCUGCCAACCUGACAAAAGAAGAAAAGCACCCACUUAUUAUUCCUCGUACUCAUUACAUUGCUACCCUCUUAGUGAGAUAUUACCAUGAGAAGGUGAUGCAUCAGGGACGUCAUAUCACAGAGGGAGCAAUUAGAGCUGCAGGACUAUGGAUCAUUGGGAGCAAAUGCUUGGUCUCAUCUGUUAUCUUCAAAUGUGUCAUCUGUCGUAAACUCAGAGGAACACUACAGAUACAAAAGAUGGCAGACUUACCAGCAGACAAGCUCUCACCAAUGCCACCCUUUACCAAUGUUGGGCUAGAUGUCUUUGGUCCAUGGACGGUUAUGACACGUCGUACAAGGGGAGGCGCUGCAGACAAUAAAAGGUGGGCGGUACUUUUCACGUGCAUGACAACUAGAGCUGUGCACAUUGAGCUUGUGGAAUCAAUGUCCACAUCUAGCUUCAUAAAUGCAUUGAGAAGAUUUUUCUCAGUACGUGGACCUGCCAAGCUUCUUCGCUCUGAUAGAGGCACUAAUUUCAUUGGUGCCUGUAAAGAAUUGGGAAUCGACCACAGAGAUGCAACAUUAAACAGCUACCUUCAGGAGAAAAAUUGUACUUGGCAGUUUAAUCCCCCACAUUCCUCACACAUGGGGGGAUCGUGGGAAAGACUCAUUGGGAUAGCCAGGCGAAUUCUGGAUGCCAUGCUUCUUCAGUCUGUACAUACUCGGCUCACACAUGAAGUACUGAGUACCUUGAUGGCUGAGGUGAUGGCAAUAAUAAAUGCAAGACCAUUACUGCCAGUGUCUACCGACCCAGACAUGCCAACUGUUUUCACGCCAGCAAUGAUCUUAACCCAGAAGACCAGUGCUUUAGAGGCCCCAUCUGGCAACUUUGAUUCAGCAGAGCUGCAUACAAAACAAUGGAAGCAAGUCCAGUGUCUUGCAGACACCUUCUGGAAGAGGUGGAGGAGGGAGUACCUUGCCACUCUUCAAAGUCGUCGGAAAUGGACAGACGACAAGCCCAAUAUCAAACUGGGAGAUGUUGUUUUGCUCAAAGAAAAACAAGCUUACAGGAACGACUGGCCGGUGGGACGUGUCAUCAAAACAUUCCUCAGCAAUGACAACAAGGUUCGAAAGGCAGAAGUAAAAAUAGUAAAAGAUGGAACUAUGAAGGUUUUUCUAAGGCCAAUCUCUGACAUGGUUGUUCUUUUAUCUGAGGGUCAGUAAAAAGAUGUUCUCUGUAUCGCUUUUGUGCUAAAUCUUGUUUAAUAUUUUUUGUGACACAACCUUAUUGUGCCAGGCGGGGAGUGUUCUGACCUCUCUGAAGUAGUUUGAUUUAUUUAACAUAAUUGUGUUUGCAACACUGCCCUCUUUUGGUUAACCUGCAGCAGUACCUCUGGCUUAAGUUUCACUUUCAGUUAGUUGAGUGUGCCUCAGAGCAGAGUGCUGGUGUUGUUUUCUCUUGCUGCAAUUUCUUCCUUUUACAUUGUUGCCUUGGAUAUUAUUUGUCCACCUUUCCUCACCAGAGCGGGAAGCUGUGGAGGAGUUGUGUCCCGGCAUUCGCACCAGGCGGUACAGCGUGCCUCACAUCACCCUGGCUCCAGACACCCGGAGACGACCGAGGCAUGCAACGAGCGAGCACCCAUCUCGAUGCAGCUUCACGGACCGCGUUCGGGCGAACGGAGACGCCAUCGCCCAGCAUGAAAACGGUAAGACUCCGCUUGUCAUUGUAACCUGCACUACUUGCCACAUGUACAGUUUAGCUUCUUCCGUCAGCAUAGAGGGGUUUACAUGUGCUAAGUGUAUUGAAGUAGUAAGGCUGACGGAGAAGGUUGCAGAACUAGAAGCGCGCAUCCGAACGCUAGUUGAGGACAGUAAGACCGCUAAUGUUAAUGUUACGAA
Non-coding RNA from Misgurnus anguillicaudatus (oriental weatherfish), 6895 nucleotides. NCBI's taxonomy places the organism in Eukaryota, Metazoa, Chordata, Actinopteri, Cypriniformes, Cobitidae. The record is from RefSeq and is a predicted model, not a curated record.